RNAcentral lists this ribosomal RNA (508 nucleotides) under uncultured bacterium. RNAcentral describes it as "partial 16S ribosomal RNA". It matches the Rfam family "Bacterial small subunit ribosomal RNA", at positions 28 to 507 of the family's 1533-position model. The record is from RNAcentral.
GACGAACGCUGGCGGCGUGCUUAACACAUGCCAGUCGAACGGGCCUUGUCCCCUUUUUUUUUGGGGGUGGGGUUAGUGGCGAACGGGUGAGUAACACGUGAGUAACCUGCCCCUCACUUCUGGAUAACCGCUUGAAAGGGUGGCUAAUACGGGGUGUUCUGGCCUGCUCGCAUGGGUGGGUUUGGAAAGAUUCGACCGGUUUUGGUUGUUUUGGUGGGGGAUGGGCUCGCGGCCUAUCAGCUUGUUGGUGGGGGGAUGGCCUGCCAAGGCUUUGACGGGUAGCCGGCCUGAGAGGGUGCGCGGUCACACUGGGACUGAGACACGGCCCAGACUCCUACGGGAGGCAGCAGUGGGGAAUAUUGCACAAUGGGCGAAAGCCUGAUGCAGCGACGCCGCGUGAGGGAUGGAGGCCUUCGGGUUGUGAACCUCUUUCGCCAGUGAAGAAGGUCCUGCUCUUUGUGGUGGGGUUGACGGUAGCUGGGUUAAUGAAGCGCCGGCUAACUACGUG